AACGAACGCUGGCGGCAUGCCUAACACAUGCAAGUCGAACGAGACCUUCGGGUCUAGUGGCGCACGGGUGCGUAACGCGUGGGAACCUGCCCUUAGGUUCGGAAUAACUCCCCGAAAGGGGUGCUAAUACCGGAUAAUGUCUUCGGACCAAAGAUUUAUCGCCUUUGGAUGGGCCCGCGUUGGAUUAGCUAGUUGGUAGGGUAAAAGCCUACCAAGGCGACGAUCCGUAGCUGGUCUGAGAGGAUGAUCAGCCACACUGGGACUGAGACACGGCCCAGACCCCUACGGGAGGCAGCAGUGGGGAAUAUUGGACAAUGGGCGAAAGCCUGAUCCAGCAAUGCCGCGUGAGUGAUGAAGGCCUUAGGGUUGUAAAGCUCUUUUACCCGGGAUGAUAAUGACAGUACCGGGAGAAUAAGCUCCGGCUAACUCCGUG
This 433-nucleotide ribosomal RNA is filed under the name uncultured bacterium. RNAcentral's name for it is "partial 16S ribosomal RNA". It matches the Rfam family "Bacterial small subunit ribosomal RNA", at positions 29 to 507 of the family's 1533-position model. The record is from RNAcentral.